AUACUGUGUAGCAUAGAUGUAAUCUAUGUGUGUAGCAAUGUUUAGAGUUUUUCUGUAAAUAUGGUGAUUAAGGUGGCUCGUGGGUACAAAAAUUUCAGCAAAGAAUUGAACCUUUAUUUUUUCAUUACAAAUUUUAUUAUAACACUAUUAGUUAUUACUUAAUGAUAUGGUAAAAAAAUCAACCCAAAAAAUCGAUUCGGUUUGGCCCCA
This 210-nucleotide long non-coding RNA is filed under the name Mytilus galloprovincialis (Mediterranean mussel). The record is from RNAcentral. Lineage: Eukaryota; Metazoa; Mollusca; Bivalvia; Mytilida; Mytilidae.